ACCGUAGGAGGCAAGCGUUAUCCGGAGUGACUGGGCGUAAAGAGCGUGUAGGCGGCUCUACUAGUGAGUUGUGGCAGCGGUCGGCUCAACCGGGGGAGGCAAAUUCAGACUGUAGGACCGGAGGCCGGCAGAGGAGUAUGGAAUUCCGGGUGUAGCGGUGAAAUGUGUAGAGAUCCGGAGGAACACCAGAGGUGCAGACGACGCUCUGGGCCUUACCUGACGCUGAGACGCGAAAGCGUGGGGAGCCAACGGG
RNAcentral lists this ribosomal RNA (253 nucleotides) under uncultured bacterium. RNAcentral's name for it is "partial 16S ribosomal RNA". It matches the Rfam family "Bacterial small subunit ribosomal RNA", at positions 524 to 776 of the family's 1533-position model. The record is from RNAcentral.